AACGAACGCUGGCGGCAUGCCUAACACAUGCAAGUCGAACGAGACCUUCGGGUCUAGUGGCGCACGGGUGCGUAACGCGUGGGAACCUGCCCUUAGGUUCGGAAUAACUCCCCGAAAGGGGUGCUAAUACCGGAUAAUGUCUUCGGACCAAAGAUUUAUCGCCUUUGGAUGGGCCCGCGUUGGAUUAGCUAGUUGGUAGGGUAAAAGCCUACCAAGGCGACGAUCCAUAGCUGGUCUGAGAGGAUGAUCAGCCACCCUGGGACUGGGACACGGCCCAGACCCCUACGGGAGGCAGAAGUGGGGAAUAUUGGACACUGGGCGAAAGCCUGAUGCAGCCAUGCCGCGUGAGUGAUGAAGGCCUUAGGGUUGUAAAGCUCUUUUACCCGGGAUGAUAAUGACAGUACCGGGAGAAUAAGCUCCGGCUAACUCCGUG
RNAcentral lists this ribosomal RNA (433 nucleotides) under uncultured bacterium. Its description in RNAcentral is "partial 16S ribosomal RNA". It matches the Rfam family "Bacterial small subunit ribosomal RNA", at positions 29 to 507 of the family's 1533-position model. The record is from RNAcentral.